CAGUCGCCACGGGAAUACGUAGGUGGCAAGCGUUGUCCGGAAUUAUUGGGCGUAAAGCGAGCGCAGGCAGUUUGAUAAGUCUGAAGUUAAAGGCUGUGGCUCAACCAUAGUUCGCUUUGGAAACUGUCAAACUUGAGUACAGAAGGGGAGAGUGGAAUUCCAUGUGUAGCGGUGAAAUGCGUAGAUAUAUGGAGGAACACCGGUGGCGAAAGCGGCUCUCUGGUCUGUCACUGACGCUGAGGCUCGAAAGCGUGGGUAGCGAACAGGAUUAGAUACCCGCGUAGUCCCUGUCUCUUAUACA
This 301-nucleotide ribosomal RNA is filed under the name uncultured bacterium. RNAcentral's name for it is "partial 16S ribosomal RNA". It matches the Rfam family "Bacterial small subunit ribosomal RNA", at positions 509 to 808 of the family's 1533-position model. The record is from RNAcentral.